This 429-nucleotide ribosomal RNA is filed under the name Pseudomonadota bacterium. Its description in RNAcentral is "Proteobacteria bacterium partial 16S ribosomal RNA". It matches the Rfam family "Bacterial small subunit ribosomal RNA", at positions 355 to 776 of the family's 1533-position model. The record is from RNAcentral. Lineage: Bacteria; Pseudomonadati; Pseudomonadota.
UGGGGAAUAUUGGACAAUGGGGGGAACCCUGAUCCAGCCAUGCCGCGUGUGUGAAGAAGGUCUUCGGAUUGUAAAGCACUUUAAGUUGGGAGGAAGGGCAGUAAGCGAAUACCUUGCUGUUUUGACGUUACCGACAGAAUAAGCACCGGCUAACUCUGUGCCAGCAGCCGCGGUAAUACAGAGGGUGCAAGCGUUAAUCGGAAUUACUGGGCGUAAAGCGCGCGUAGGUGGUUCGUUAAGUUGAAUGUGAAAGCCCCGGGCUCAACCUGGGAACUGCAUCCAAAACUGGCGAGCUAGAGUAGGGCAGAGGGUGGUGGAAUUUCCUGUGUAGCGGUGAAAUGCGUAGAUAUAGGAAGGAACACCAGUGGCGAAGGCGACCACCUGGGCUCAUACUGACACUGAGGUACGAAAGCAUGGGGAGCAAACAGG